AUACUUAGUAUAAUUUUAUAUAUUUAACUUCCAAUUAAAAGAUCUUUAUUUUAAGAGUA
RNAcentral lists this transfer RNA (59 nucleotides) under Bilobella aurantiaca. Its description in RNAcentral is "tRNA-Gly". The record is from RNAcentral. Lineage: Eukaryota; Metazoa; Arthropoda; Collembola; Poduromorpha; Neanuridae.